Hyaena hyaena (striped hyena) is the source of this 434-nucleotide long non-coding RNA. RefSeq lists it as uncharacterized. Lineage: Eukaryota; Metazoa; Chordata; Mammalia; Carnivora; Hyaenidae. The record is from RefSeq and is a predicted model, not a curated record. The transcript has 3 exons.
GUCACUGCGGCCGCGUGGAACACGCCGCGGCGCCCAAAGAGUUGCCAGGUGCUGUGGGCGGUGCCUCCUUUUGAGCCGACUGGGUCAAGAAACCAUGAAGGUUUGGAGAUUCUUUGGAGGACCUUGAAUAGGUGUUGAAUUUUGUAUCAAUGUUUGCAAGAAGAAAAGCAAAUGUUAUUUGUGGGCCUUCUGAAGCUGGAGCGUAAAAGGUGGACCACUGACAUCUAAGUCCCGGGGAGGGAAAAAAAACACAAGAAGAGAACGCCAGUUCAAGAUGAUGGAGUGAGCCACAGAAGGCCAAGAGUAGGAUACUUCUAAAUGGACCAAACGAUUAUUGGGAAAUGGAAACCGGCAUUGUUCUAAGCAUACCCUUCCCACAUAUCAGCUUCUACGGGGUUUCUGCCUUCUAUAGUCCUUGAACUGUUUUACACUGA